This 1054-nucleotide ribosomal RNA is filed under the name Bacillus sp. PC IW 15. RNAcentral describes it as "bacterial SSU rRNA". It matches the Rfam family "Bacterial small subunit ribosomal RNA", at positions 10 to 1043 of the family's 1533-position model. The record is from RNAcentral. Lineage: Bacteria; Bacillati; Bacillota; Bacilli; Caryophanales; Bacillaceae.
AGUUUUGAAUCCUGGCUCAGGACGAACGCUGGCGGCGUGCCUAAUACAUGCAAGUCGAGCGGACUAAUUGGAGCUUGCUCCAAUUAGUUAGCGGCGGACGGGUGAGUAACACGUGGGCAACCUACCUAUAAGACUGGGAUAACUUCGGGAAACCGGAGCUAAUACCGGAUGACACAAAGGAACUCCUGUUCCUUUGUUGAAAGAUGGCUUCGGCUAUCACUUAUAGAUGGGCCCGCGGCGCAUUAGCUAGUUGGUGAGGUAACGGCUCACCAAGGCGACGAUGCGUAGCCGACCUGAGAGGGUGAUCGGCCACACUGGGACUGAGACACGGCCCAGACUCCUACGGGAGGCAGCAGUAGGGAAUCUUCCGCAAUGGACGAAAGUCUGACGGAGCAACGCCGCGUGAGCGAUGAAGGCCUUCGGGUCGUAAAGCUCUGUUGUUAGGGAAGAACAAGUGCUAGUUGAAUAAGCUGGCACCUUGACGGUACCUAACCAGAAAGCCACGGCUAACUACGUGCCAGCAGCCGCGGUAAUACGUAGGUGGCAAGCGUUGUCCGGAAUUAUUGGGCGUAAAGCGCGCGCAGGCGGUUUCUUAAGUCUGAUGUGAAAGCCCCCGGCUCAACCGGGGAGGGUCAUUGGAAACUGGGAAACUUGAGUGCAGAAGAGGAAAGUGGAAUUCCAAGUGUAGCGGUGAAAUGCGUAGAGAUUUGGAGGAACACCAGUGGCGAAGGCGACUUUCUGGUCUGUAACUGACGCUGAGGCGCGAAAGCGUGGGGAGCAAACAGGAUUAGAUACCCUGGUAGUCCACGCUGUAAACGAUGAGUGCUAAGUGUUAGAGGGUUUCCGCCCUUUAGUGCUGAAGUUAACGCAUUAAGCACUCCGCCUGGGGAGUACGGUCGCAAGACUGAAACUCAAAGGAAUUGACGGGGGCCCGCACAAGUGGUGGAGCAUGUGGUUUAAUUCGAAGCAACGCGAAGAACCUUACCAGGUCUUGACAUCCUCUGACAACCCUAGAGAUAGGGCUUUCCCUUCGGGGACAGAGUGACAGGUGGUG